CCUACGGGUGGCAGCAGUGGGGAAUAUUGGGCAAUGGGCGCAAGCCUGACCCAGCAACGCCGCGUGAAGGAAGAAGGCUUUCGGGUUGUAAACUUCUUUUAAGAGGGAAGAGCAGAAGACGGUACCUCUUGAAUAAGCCACGGCUAACUACGUGCCAGCAGCCGCGGUAAUACGUAGGUGGCAAGCGUUGUCCGGAUUUACUGGGUGUAAAGGGCGUGCAGGCGGGAAGACAAUUCAGAUGUGAAAGCCCGCGGCUCAACCGAGGAACUGCAUUUGAAACUGUUUUUCUGGAGUACCGGAGAGGUCAGCGGAAUUCGUUGUGUAGCGGUGAAAUGCGUAGAUAUAAGGAAGAACACCGGUGGCGAAGGCGGUCUGCUGGACAGCAACUGACGCUGAGGCGCGAAAGCGUGGGGAGCAAACAGGAUUAGAUACCCCAGUAGUC
Molecule: ribosomal RNA, 442 nt
Filed under: uncultured bacterium
Lineage: Bacteria
Description: partial 16S ribosomal RNA
Rfam family: Bacterial small subunit ribosomal RNA
Source: RNAcentral